RNAcentral lists this ribosomal RNA (492 nucleotides) under uncultured bacterium. RNAcentral describes it as "partial 16S ribosomal RNA". It matches the Rfam family "Bacterial small subunit ribosomal RNA", at positions 29 to 507 of the family's 1533-position model. The record is from RNAcentral.
AGUGAACGCUGGCGGUAGGCCUAACACAUGCAAGUCGAACGGCAGCACAGUAAAAGCUUGCUCUUACGGGUGGCGAGUGGCGGACGGGUGAGGAAUACAUCGGAAUCUACUUUUUCGUGGGGGAUAACGGAGGGAAACUGACGCUAAUACCGCAUACGACCUACGGGUGAAAUCAGGGGAUCUUCGGACCUUUCGCGAUUGAAUGAGCCGAUGUCGGAUUAGCUAGUUGGCGGGGUAAAGGCCCACCAAGGCGACGAUCCGUAGCUGGUCUGAGAGGAUGAUCAGCCACACUGGAACUGAGACACGGUCAAGACUCCUACGGGAGGAAGCAGUGGGGAAUAUUGGACAAUGGGCGAAAUCCUGAUCCAGCCAUACCGCGUGGGUGAAGAAGGCCUUCGGGUUGUAAAGCCCUUUUGUUGGGAAAGAAAAGCAGCAGGUUAAUACCCCGCUGUUCUGACGGUACCCAAAGAAUAAGCACCGGCUAACUUCGUG